CCCUGGCCGGCUCAGUUGGUGGAACAUGAGACUCUUGAUCUCAGGAUUGUGAGUUCGAGCCCCACGUUAGGCA
Molecule: transfer RNA, 73 nt
Filed under: Felis catus (domestic cat)
Lineage: Eukaryota; Metazoa; Chordata; Mammalia; Carnivora; Felidae
Rfam family: tRNA
About the family: Transfer RNA (tRNA) molecules are approximately 80 nucleotides in length. Their secondary structure includes four short double-helical elements and three loops (D, anti-codon, and T loops).
Source: Rfam by way of RNAcentral